UACGAAGGGGGCUAGCGUUGUUCGGAAUUACUGGGCGUAAAGCGCGCGCAGGCGGUCUUCCAAGUCAGUGGUGAAAGCCCGGAGCUCAACUCCGGAACUGCCAUUGAAACUGUUAGACUUGAGGACGAGAGAGGUGAGUGGAAUUCCCAGUGUAGAGGUGAAAUUCGUAGAUAUUGGGAAGAACACCGGUGGCGAAGGCGGCCAACUGGACGAAUACUGACGCUGAGACACGAAAGCGUGGGGAGCGAACAGG
This 253-nucleotide ribosomal RNA is filed under the name uncultured bacterium. Its description in RNAcentral is "partial 16S ribosomal RNA". It matches the Rfam family "Bacterial small subunit ribosomal RNA", at positions 524 to 776 of the family's 1533-position model. The record is from RNAcentral.